Molecule: ribosomal RNA, 253 nt
Filed under: uncultured bacterium
Lineage: Bacteria
Description: partial 16S ribosomal RNA
Rfam family: Bacterial small subunit ribosomal RNA
Source: RNAcentral
UACGUAGGCAGCAAGCGUUGUUCGGAAUUACUGGGCGUAAAGAGUGUGUAGGCGGUGUUCUAAGUUUGGUGUGAAAUCUCCCGGCUUAACUGGGAGGGUGCGCCGAAAACUGGAAUGCUAGAGUAUGGGAGAGGUAAGCGGAAUUCCUGGUGUAGCGGUGAAAUGCGUAGAUAUCAGGAGGAACACCUGUGGUGUAGACAGCUUACUGGACCAUCACUGACGCUGAGACACGAAAGCGUGGGUAGCAAACAGG